CGGCACCUACGGGAGGCAGCAGUGAGGAAUAUUGGUCAAUGGACGGAAGUCUGAACCAGCCAUGCCGCGUGCAGGAAGACGGCUCUAUGAGUUGUAAACUGCUUUUGUACAAGGGUAAACCUGAAUACGUGUAUUCAGCUGAAAGUACUGUACGAAUAAGGAUCGGCUAACUCCGUGCCAGCAGCCGCGGUAAUAAGGAGGAUCCAAGCGAUAUCCGGAUUUAUUGGGUUUAAAGGAUGCGUAGGCGGAUUGAUAAGUUCGAGGUGAAAUGACCGUGCACAACUC
Molecule: ribosomal RNA, 285 nt
Filed under: uncultured bacterium
Lineage: Bacteria
Description: partial 16S ribosomal RNA
Rfam family: Bacterial small subunit ribosomal RNA
Source: RNAcentral